This 592-nucleotide ribosomal RNA is filed under the name Discheramocephalus sp. IBE-AN361. RNAcentral's name for it is "partial 28S ribosomal RNA". It matches the Rfam family "Eukaryotic large subunit ribosomal RNA", at positions 674 to 1235 of the family's 3401-position model. The record is from RNAcentral. Lineage: Eukaryota; Metazoa; Arthropoda; Insecta; Coleoptera; Ptiliidae.
UCUAGCAUGUACGCAAGUCAUUGGGAUGUACGAAACCCAAAGGCGAAAUGAAAGUGAAGGUAAGCCUUGUGCAAACCGAGGGCUGAUAUGUGUAAUGCAUCGCAGGCCCAAGGCGUCCUAUACUUAUUGCAAGUUGGGGCGCACUCAGAGCGUACACGCUGGGACCCGAAAGAUGGUGAACUAUGCCUGGUCAGGAUGAAGUCAGGGGAAACCCUGAUGGAGGUCCGUAGCGAUUCUGACGUGCAAAUCGAUCGUAAGAACUGGGUAUAGGGGCGAAAGACUAAUCGAACCAUCUAGUAGCUGGUUCCCUCCGAAGUUUCCCUCAGGAUAGCUGGCAUUUGUGUGUGUGAGUUUCAUCCGGUAAAGCGAAUGAUUAGAGGCAUUGGGGCCGAAACGGCUUCAACCUAUUCUCAAACUUUAAAUGGGUGAGAUCGUCAGCCUGCUUGAUGUGUGUGAGGCUGGCGUGUGAAUCGUGAGUGCCAAGUGGGCCACUUUUGGUAAGCAGAACUGGCGCUGUGGGAUGAACCAAACGUCGGGUUAAAGCGCAUAAAUCGACGCUAAUGGGAUACCAUAAAAGGCGUUGGUAACUUAA